AGAGUCACUCCUACGGGAGGCAGCAGUGGGGAAUUUUCCGCAAUGGGCGAAAGCCUGACGGAGUGACGCCGCGUGUGGGAUGAAGGCCUUCGGGUCGUAAACCACUGUCAGUGGGAAAGAUGGGUGUCGGCGCGAUAACCGCCGGCAUCUGACGGUACCUGCAGAGGAAGCCCCGGCUAACUCUGUGCCAGCAGCCGCGGUAAGACAGAGGGGGCAAGCGUUGCUCGGAAUUACUGGGCGUAAAGGGCGCGUAGGCGGGAUGGCAAGUCGGUCGUGAAAUCCCUCGGCUCAACUGAGGAGCGUCGAUCGAAACUGCCGUUCUUGAGGGUUGCAGAGGAGACUGGAAUUCCCGGUGUAGCGGUGAAAUGUGUAGAGAUCGGGAGGAACACCGGUGGCGAAGGCGGGUCUCUGGGCAACUCCUGACGCUGAGGCGCGAAAGCGUGGGGAGCAAACGGGAUUAGAUACCCCGGUAGUCCACGCUGUAAACGAUGACGACUAGGUGUGGGGGGGUUCAGUCCCUUCCGUGCCGCAGCUAACGCAUUAAGUCGUCCGCCUGGGGAGUACGGCCGCAAGGUUGAAACUUAAAGGAAUUGACG
RNAcentral lists this ribosomal RNA (596 nucleotides) under uncultured bacterium. Its description in RNAcentral is "bacterial SSU rRNA". It matches the Rfam family "Bacterial small subunit ribosomal RNA", at positions 329 to 915 of the family's 1533-position model. The record is from RNAcentral.